Long non-coding RNA from Myotis daubentonii (Daubenton's bat), 226 nucleotides. RefSeq lists it as uncharacterized. Lineage: Eukaryota; Metazoa; Chordata; Mammalia; Chiroptera; Vespertilionidae. The record is from RefSeq and is a predicted model, not a curated record.
AGGUCGCGCGGAGGUGCUGUCGGUGGCCACGAACCCGAGUAAGUGGUAGACGCACGACAACCUGGGAAGGUGGUGUCAGGCGAGUGCCCAUCACACAAAUGAGGACACUGCGCCGGGAAGUCCCUUGCCUGGGGUCAUGCCGCCCAGUCUAAGGUUUAUGCCAACAAGCCCAUGACCACCCACGCCUUGAAGGAGGAAAUUGAGCGCUGUAUCAACGAAAUUCAGC